UUUCCGUAGGUGAACCUGCGGAAGGAUCAUUAUCCAUCCAAAACCAGGUGCGGUCGCGGCCUCCAGGUGAUAACCUGGGUGGUUUCGCGCCGCAUUCCUGCAUCCUUUUUUUACGAGCACCUUUCGUUCUCCUUCGGCGGGGCAACCUGCCGCUGGAACUUAACAAAACCUUUUUUUGCAUCUAGCAUUACCUGUUCUGAUACAAACAAUCGUUACAACUUUCAACAACGGAUCUCUUGGUUCUGGCAUCGAUGAAGAACGCAGC
RNAcentral lists this unclassified non-coding RNA (265 nucleotides) under uncultured fungus. Its description in RNAcentral is "sequence contains ITS1, 5.8S rRNA gene". The stretch from base 217 to 265 matches the Rfam family "5.8S ribosomal RNA", at positions 1 to 49 of the family's 154-position model. The record is from RNAcentral. Lineage: Eukaryota; Fungi.